AUUGACAUUUAUUUUGUUUCGCUGCGCAAUUAUUUUGUUACCUAUUUAUAGCGUAGUGAAUUUUGGCGCCAAUUUUAUAAGACUGUAACGGAACGUAAAGUCGACAAGAUAUUUAUUAUCAUUACUUUCUUUAUCUUCUUACGACUAAAUAACACUUACUUGUUUAUGGAUAUUGUAUAAUCCUAAGAACAAUGAAUUACAUAGAAGAAUAUAUAAAUACAGAAAUACGUUGACUCCAUUAAAGAAGAAAAAAUAUGUAAAUCGACCCCAUUAUUUGUAUUUAUCAAGCGAGUCGACUGCGCGUAUUCACAACAAUAUCAAUAUCAAGCUGUGUUAAAUAUUAAUACAUUUUAAUAUGCCAUAUUGUUUCAUGCACAUAUGGUUACAUAGUAUAGGUUAUCCUUUCUUUUCAUCGUGUCGUCAGAGGCGGCUCAUCAGAAAAAAUCAUCAACAAAGACUUUAUCAUUUAUCAAGAAAAAGUGCAGGAAUAUACCUCUACAUACUUAUAAUAAAUACGUGAUAUCGUUCCAAUGACACAUUAUGUAUAUUAUAUCUAUCUAUAAUCUAUAAAAUAGAUUUUGAAGUAGC
Molecule: long non-coding RNA, 588 nt
Organism: Galleria mellonella (greater wax moth)
Lineage: Eukaryota; Metazoa; Arthropoda; Insecta; Lepidoptera; Pyralidae
Exons: 2
Source: RefSeq, a predicted model, not a curated record